CAAAAGGUCAAGAGAACAAGAUGUGGGGUUUGAUCUUCUGAUCAACAUGCGUACUUCAGCCUCACUGAAAGGUCUGAAAUGUAGAAACUUGAUUUAAGAG
Haliotis rubra (blacklip abalone) is the source of this 100-nucleotide long non-coding RNA. RefSeq lists it as uncharacterized. Lineage: Eukaryota; Metazoa; Mollusca; Gastropoda; Lepetellida; Haliotidae. The transcript has 3 exons. The record is from RefSeq and is a predicted model, not a curated record.